ACCUCCUGCCCUCGUGAUCGUCUUCUCACCUUUCACCGGGCAGGUGGAGAGAAAGGGAGGGCCCCCGUACGGACGUGACGUACGGGGGCCCUCC
Molecule: non-coding RNA, 94 nt
Filed under: Streptomyces abyssalis
Lineage: Bacteria; Bacillati; Actinomycetota; Actinomycetes; Kitasatosporales; Streptomycetaceae
Description: sodF sRNA
Rfam family: sodF sRNA
About the family: Identified in Streptomyces coelicolor. It is produced from sodF mRNA by cleavage of about 90 nucleotides from its 3'UTR. However, it does not affect the function of sodF mRNA, but acts on another mRNA called sodN. s-SodF RNA has a sequence complimentary to sodN mRNA from the 5'-end up to the ribosome binding site.
Source: Rfam by way of RNAcentral